Molecule: ribosomal RNA, 37 nt
Filed under: Vairimorpha bombi
Lineage: Eukaryota; Fungi; Microsporidia; Nosematidae
Description: Nosema bombi partial 23S ribosomal RNA
Source: RNAcentral
UUACCCACACAUGGGAUCAAAGGAUACCAUAACGAUG